CGCGGGAGGUGGGGCUGCUAUUCUGCUGCUGUGAACAUGCUGGGACGAGCGGACGGUCUGGAAUGCUGGUUGCACGCGGCUGAUGGCGGAGGAGCUGGUCGCUGGCUGCACGCACGGUGAUCGCGGAGGAGCUGGUCGGUUUGCAUCACGGGAGGAAAGAAAUCAAUGGCUGGCUGAUUUGGGAAGAGGUCCCCUGUUUCAGCGCUGUGAAGGAAAGAAUGGAAAGUCAGGUUGGAUGGUUGCUGAUCUGGGAAGGGCUCUGUUUUGGCGCACGGAAAAAUGUGUGGAUUUGAGCUUGGGAGAUUUGCUGGACAUGGGGGAUGAUGGAUUGCAUGAGGAUUCACCUGGGAAGCUUGGAUUGGCUUGGAUAGUGGUCGCGGGAAAGGAAUGGGAUUGGUUGGGAAUUGGCUUUGGAUUUGAGGUGGGUCAUGAUCGUUGACUUGUCCUCAAGCCCAAUGUCAUUUAAAUCUAAUUCUUGUUAAACUGCUUCAGACCGAACUCGACCAGAUAAAAUGAACAAGACUAAAAACAAGAC
Molecule: long non-coding RNA, 535 nt
Filed under: Phoenix dactylifera (date palm)
Lineage: Eukaryota; Viridiplantae; Streptophyta; Magnoliopsida; Arecales; Arecaceae
Description: long non-coding RNA (PDAC_LNC005267)
Source: RNAcentral